Molecule: ribosomal RNA, 253 nt
Filed under: uncultured bacterium
Lineage: Bacteria
Description: partial 16S ribosomal RNA
Rfam family: Bacterial small subunit ribosomal RNA
Source: RNAcentral
UACGAAGGGGGUUAGCGUUGUUCGGAUUUACUGGGCGUAAAGCGCACGUAGGCGGAUUGUUAAGUGAGGGGUGAAAUCCCAGGGCUCAACCCUGGAACUGCCUUUCAUACUGGCAAUCUUGAGUCCGGAAGAGGUGAGUGGAACUCCUAGUGUAGAGGUGGAAUUCGUAGAUAUCAGGAGGAACACCAAUAGCGAAGGCAGCUCGCUGGGACGUUACUGACACUGAGGCGCGAAAGCGUGGGGAGCGAACAGG